Molecule: ribosomal RNA, 378 nt
Filed under: uncultured bacterium
Lineage: Bacteria
Description: bacterial SSU rRNA
Rfam family: Bacterial small subunit ribosomal RNA
Source: RNAcentral
UAAGACGGAGGAGGCAAGCGUUGUCCGGAAUCAUUGGGCGUAAGGAGCGCGUAGGCUGUUUUUCAAGUCAUAUGUGAAAACAUCAGGCUUAACCUGGUGAUUGCAUAUGAAACUGGAUAACUUGAGUACAGUAGAGGAAAGUGGAAUUCCUGGUGUAGCGGUGAAAUGCGCAGAUAUCAGGAGGAACACCAGUGGCGAAGGCGGCUUUCUGGGCUGUUACUGACGCUGAGGCGCGAAAGCUAGGGGAGCGAACAGGAUUAGAUACCCUGGUAGUCCUAGCCGUAAACGAUGGACACUAGGUGUGGGAAGUUAUCGACGCUUUCUGUGCCGGAGUUAACGCAUUAAGUGUCCCGCCUGGGGAGUACGGCCGCAAGGCUA